UACGUAGGGUGCAAGCGUUAAUCGGAAUUACUGGGCGUAAAGCGUGCGCAGGCGGUUGUGCAAGACCGAUGUGAAAGCCCCGGGCUCAACCUGGGAAUUGCGAUGGAGACUGCAAGGCUUGAAUCUGGCAGAGGGGGGUAGAAUUCCACGUGUAGUAGUGAAAUGCGUAGAGAUGUGGAGGAACACCGAUGGCGAAGGCAGCCCCCUGGGUCAAGAUUGACGCUCAUGCACGAAAGCGUGGGGAGCAAACAGG
Molecule: ribosomal RNA, 253 nt
Filed under: uncultured bacterium
Lineage: Bacteria
Description: partial 16S ribosomal RNA
Rfam family: Bacterial small subunit ribosomal RNA
Source: RNAcentral